AAAACUCCCGACAGACUAUAUUUUAUCUAAAAAUAUUAAAUUUCCAACGGAUAUAUAUUUUGUCAGAAAUAUCCUUUGAAAAGUUGAAAUUAUCUUUUCUGUGGUUUUCCUGCUUCCAUUUUUCAACUCUGGGUAGGUACUGAUUCAUGUCUUCUUUCUUGUGCUUACGUAUGCCGUAUCCAUGUUAAGUUGCCCACCACAUUGAAACUCAAAUUCAGUCCAACACUAAAGGACUCUAAGCAAUCUGAGAUUGGUUCCAAUCUAGUUCUGCUUGGUUGUUGCAGAAGAGAAGAAAGCAAGUGCACGAGUCCCAUAGCUAUACUCCAGCUACCUAAGGGUCAAUCAGAAGAGUUUGGUCGAUGUGCAUGCAAAUUCAUUUACAAAAAGAUACUGGUCAAUUUAUCGAUGAUAGAUCUAUGCAGAUACAUAAAGAAUUUGAGGUUAGACUAUCUCAAGCUAGAUCUCAUGUUGCAUAAGUGUUGGUGAAUCACAAUUCACUCCUUUAGACCCUGAUGAAGAACAAAAAUUUAGGAGUCAAUGUUGGGUUGCAAUUGCGAGACCAAAGCGUAAGGGACGCGUUUACGCUACUGGAGACCUUGCUCAUACUUAUAAAUGUGAAGAUGACAACUUCAUACAACAUAUGCAAGGAUCUUCCAGUCGCACCCAAGAUGCCAUAGAGAUUAAGCGACUGAGGGAGGAGCUUCGUCAAUCAAAGGACGAGAUGCAUGUAUUUCAGUCAGUUACCUCUUGAAGUGCAUAACAUUAUUCAUCAACAUCAACAACCUCACUAGCAACAUCAAAACCAACAACAAGAAGACAAUGAGCAGGCAGAUGACCAACAACAAGAUGAUGACCAACAGAGACACGCUCCCAAUGAAUAUUUUGAUUACUGACUUAACAUCAUAAAAUUGUUAUUGACAUAUUACAUUGUGUUUAUCUUUUCCAUUUAUUUUCAAUUUAACUUAAUGAUAUAUUUUACUA
Long non-coding RNA from Glycine soja, 981 nucleotides. RefSeq lists it as uncharacterized. NCBI's taxonomy places the organism in Eukaryota, Viridiplantae, Streptophyta, Magnoliopsida, Fabales, Fabaceae. The transcript is spliced from 4 exons. The record is from RefSeq and is a predicted model, not a curated record.